Molecule: unclassified non-coding RNA, 329 nt
Filed under: soil metagenome
Description: partial contains 5.8S ribosomal RNA, internal transcribed spacer 2, and large subunit ribosomal RNA
Rfam family: 5.8S ribosomal RNA (bases 1-120)
Source: RNAcentral
GAUGAAGAACGUAGCGAAAUGCGAUAAGUAAUGUGAAUUGCAGAAUUCAGUGAAUCAUCGAAUCUUUGAACGCACAUUGCGCCCCUUGGUAUUCCGAGGGGCAUGCCUGUUCGAGCGUCAUUAUAACCCCUCAAGCUCAGCUUGGUGUUGGGGCCUGCUGCACUGGCAGCCCCUAAAAUCAGUGGCGGCGCCAUCUGGCUCUAAGCGUAGUAAUUCUUCUCGCUAUGGAGUCCUGGUGGAUGCUUGCCAUCAACCCCCAAUUUUUCUAUGGUUGACCUCGGAUCAGGUAGGGAUACCCGCUGAACUUAAGCAUAUCAAUAAGCGGAGGA